Molecule: unclassified non-coding RNA, 336 nt
Filed under: soil metagenome
Description: partial contains 5.8S ribosomal RNA, internal transcribed spacer 2, and large subunit ribosomal RNA
Rfam family: 5.8S ribosomal RNA (bases 1-120)
Source: RNAcentral
GAUGAAGAACGCAGCGAAAUGCGAUAAGUAGUGUGAAUUGCAGAAUUCAGUGAAUCAUCGAAUCUUUGAACGCACAUUGCGCCCCUUGGUAUUCCAUGGGGCAUGCCUGUUCGAGCGUCAUUUGUACCCUCAAGCUUUGCUUGGUGUUGGGUGUUUGUCCUCUCCUUUGCGUUUGGACUCGCCUUAAAGCAACUGGCAGCCAGUGUUUUGGUAUUGAAGCGCAGCACAUUUUGCGAUUCUAGCCGAUAAUACUUGCGUCCAUAAGCCUUUUUUAACUUUUGACCUCGGAUCAGGUAGGGAUACCCGCUGAACUUAAGCAUAUCAAUAAGCGGAGGA